GUUAGGAAUAUUGGACAAUGGGCACAAGCCUGAUCCAGCCAUGCCGCGUGAGUGAUGAAGGCCUUCGGGUUGUAAAGCUCUUUAGUCCACGAAUAUAAUGACUGUAGUGGAAGAAUAAGCCCCGGCUAACUUCGUGCCAGCAGCCGCGGUAAUACGAAGGGGGCGAGCGUUAUUCGGAAUCACUGGGCGUAAAGCGUGCGUAGGCUGUUUUGUAAGUCAGAAGUGAAAGCCCAGGGCUUAACCCUGGAAUUGCUUUUGAAACUACAAGACUCGAAUUCGGGAGAGGAUAGCGGAAUUGUCAGUGUAGCAGUGAAAUGCGUAGAUAUUGACAGGAACACCAGUGGCGCAAGCGGCUAUCUGGACCGAUAUUGACGCUGAGGCACGAAAGCGUGGGGAGCAAACAGGAUUAGAUACCCGUGUAGUCC
This 425-nucleotide ribosomal RNA is filed under the name uncultured bacterium. RNAcentral's name for it is "partial 16S ribosomal RNA". It matches the Rfam family "Bacterial small subunit ribosomal RNA", at positions 354 to 796 of the family's 1533-position model. The record is from RNAcentral.